AUUGAACGCUGGCGGCAGGCCUAACACAUGCAAGUCGAGCGGAAACGAGAAAGAGCUUGCUCUUUUGGCGUCGAGCGGCGGACGGGUGAGUAAUGCCUAGGAAAUUGCCUUGAUGUGGGGGAUAACCAUUGGAAACGAUGGCUAAUACCGCAUAAUAGCGUUUGCUCAAAGAAGGGGACCUUCGGGCCUUUCGCGUCGAGAUAUGCCUAGGUGGGAUUAGCUAGUUGGUGAGGUAAAAGCUCACCAAGGCGACGAUCCCUAGCUGGUCUGAGAGGAUGAUCAGCCACACUGGAACUGAGACACGGUCCAGACUCCUACGGGAGGCAGCAGUGGGGAAUAUUGCACAAUGGGCGCAAGCCUGAUGCAGCCAUGCCGCGUGUAUGAAGAAGGCUUUCGGGUUGUAAAGUACUUUCAGCAGUGAGGAAGGUCUUGAUUUUAAUAGAGUCAAGAUUUGACGUUAGCUGCAGAAGAAGCACCGGCUAACUCCG
RNAcentral lists this ribosomal RNA (488 nucleotides) under uncultured Vibrio sp. Its description in RNAcentral is "bacterial SSU rRNA". It matches the Rfam family "Bacterial small subunit ribosomal RNA", at positions 30 to 505 of the family's 1533-position model. Lineage: Bacteria; Pseudomonadati; Pseudomonadota; Gammaproteobacteria; Vibrionales; Vibrionaceae. The record is from RNAcentral.